AACUCUAGCUUGAAAGUAUCCUUAAAUACCAAUUAAAAUGGAACAAAAUGUUCUGUCGACCACAGGCAAUGCCUCUGAGAACCUUGGAAUGGAGAAAGGGAACAAUGUCAUCUGCACUCAGUCAUGGAGGAAACAGCUGGACAAGUCAGCACACGGCGGAGGUGACCGGUGGAGGCGACUAGGACUUCUUCAGGCAGCAUCUGAAGUCUCUCUGAAAACACAAGAAAAGAAUAUACAGAGAACCUCCCAGAAACUGCAAGUCCCAUGGAAAUUAAGGCCAUUAGUGUUUUGUAUAAUAAACAGUCACCUUUGCAUUUAAAAUGGACUAUUUUGUUUUGGAUAUAGGUGGAGUAGGAUAUAAAUGUAUACUUCCUUGCUUCUUAGUUUAUCAUAGGAAUCUAAGAAAAGAACUAAGGAUAAGAGAAAAGGAGG
This 432-nucleotide long non-coding RNA is filed under the name Pan troglodytes (chimpanzee). RNAcentral's name for it is "lncRNA (ENSPTRG00000053790.1)". The record is from RNAcentral. Lineage: Eukaryota; Metazoa; Chordata; Mammalia; Primates; Hominidae.